This 1497-nucleotide long non-coding RNA is filed under the name Jatropha curcas. RNAcentral's name for it is "long non-coding RNA (JCUR_LNC002491)". Lineage: Eukaryota; Viridiplantae; Streptophyta; Magnoliopsida; Malpighiales; Euphorbiaceae. The record is from RNAcentral.
GAAUUUCCUGGUGCGAUGAUUCACUAGCUCUAGUUUAUGAAUCAUGGUACAAGACUAGGCGAACGAGAACCUGGAUAAUAUCUCCUGGUUCUACAGAUGUAAGUCCACGUAUAUUAUUUGAUAGGUCAUCAGAAGAUGUUUAUUCUGAUCCCGGCUCCCCUAUGAUGAGAAGAACUCCUUCUGGAACUUAUGUGAUUGCAAAGAUAAAGAAGGAAAAUGAUGAUGGCACCUAUGUUUUGUUGAAUGGAAAUGGUGCUACACCUGAAGGAAAUAUCCCUUUCCUUGAUCUGUUUGACAUGUGAGUAUUCUAGAACCACUUUUCACUAAUGUGUGUUCCUCACCUGCUUCCUGAUACCUAUUGGUGCCAAUGUUCUAAACCAAAUUCUUUCAGAAAUACAGGCAACAAAGAACGAAUUUGGGAAAGUGACAAGGAAAAAUAUUAUGAGACCGUUGUUGCUUUGAUGUCUGAUCAUAAGGAAGGGGAUCUAUAUCUUGAUCAGUUGAAAAUUUUGACUUCAAAGGAAUCAAAAACUGAAAAUACCCAAUAUUAUAUCCAGAGAUGGCCAGAUAAGAAAAUAUGAAAAGCUUUUUCUUCUUUCUGAUUUUUAAUCUCAAAACCUGAAUAGCACUCCACUGGUAUUCUUAGAAUAGUUCAAAAACUAGCUUGAAUAGGGCAUAGGUUGUGCAAUUUUGCAUUUUUCAUUUUGCACAAUGAAUAAUUGGUUAGCUCAUCUCUUUUAUGGUGCUGUUACAAGCUUAAUGCCUUUUAAGUUACAGGAAUACUUGGAUACUGCUGUGAGAUGCAGGGAAUGCAUGUAUGUAUUUGAUUGCCUUGCUUUGGCAACUACUUCAUUGUUAAAACUUCUGAUAUUUAUAGUUUCACCAGAAUAUAGGUUAGUGAUAGUUUCGACAGAAUAUAGGUUAGUAGAUAUGUACAAAUUAUCCAUAUGAAAUAUGUAAUAACUUGUUGGCAGCUGUACCACUGCUUUUUUAAAACCGCCUAAAAGGAUUUAAUCUAGAAUCUUAUCUUGAUAUGUUCUUUCUUUGAUCUUCACAGUGGAAUUUCCUGGUGCGAUGAUUCACUAGCUCUAGUUUAUGAAUCAUGGUACAAGACUAGGCGAACGAGAACCUGGAUAAUAUCUCCUGGUUCUACAGAUGUAAGUCCACGUAUAUUAUUUGAUAGGUCAUCAGAAGAUGUUUAUUCUGAUCCCGGCUCCCCUAUGAUGAGAAGAACUCCUUCUGGAACUUAUGUGAUUGCAAAGAUAAAGAAGGAAAAUGAUGAUGGCACCUAUGUUUUGUUGAAUGGAAAUGGUGCUACACCUGAAGGAAAUAUCCCUUUCCUUGAUCUGUUUGACAUGUGAGUAUUCUAGAACCACUUUUCACUAAUGUGUGUUCCUCACCUGCUUCCUGAUACCUAUUGGUGCCAAUGUUCUAAACCAAAUUCUUUCAGAAAUACAGGCAACAAAGAACGAAUUUGGGAAAGUGACAAGGAAAAAU